Non-coding RNA from Zootermopsis nevadensis, 47 nucleotides. Lineage: Eukaryota; Metazoa; Arthropoda; Insecta; Blattodea; Termopsidae. The record is from Rfam.
AAAUCGGCCCUUUUCAGGGCCAACACAUUUUCUGUGAGAGUUGUAGU